GACGAACGCUGGCGGCGUGCUUAACACAUGCAAGUCGAACGGUGAAGCGCCUUCCUUUUUGGUGGGUGUGGAUGAGUGGCGAACGGGUGAGUAACACGUGAGUAACCUGCCCCCUUCUUUUGGAUAACCGCAUGAAAGUGUGGCUCAUACGGGAUAUCCUGGGUCUGUGUCAUGAUGGGUCUGGGAAAGAUAUUGUUUCGGUGGGGGAUGGGCUCGCGGCCUGUCAGCUUGUUGGUGGGGUCAUGGCCUACCAGGGCUGUGCCGGGUAGCCGGCCUGAGAGGGUAGACGGUCUCAGUGGGACUGAGGCACGGCCGGGACUCCUACGGGGGGCAGCAGUGGGGGGUAUGGAGCAGUGGGGAAAAGCGUACUACGGGGACGACGCGGGAGGAGUGGAGGCCUUCGGGGUGUGAAGCUCUUUCGCCAGUGAAGCGGGUCUGCCUCGUUUGUAGGUGGAUUGACGGUAGCGGGAUAAGAAGCGCCGGCUAACUACGUG
This 494-nucleotide ribosomal RNA is filed under the name uncultured bacterium. RNAcentral's name for it is "partial 16S ribosomal RNA". It matches the Rfam family "Bacterial small subunit ribosomal RNA", at positions 28 to 507 of the family's 1533-position model. The record is from RNAcentral.